RNAcentral lists this ribosomal RNA (1184 nucleotides) under Enterococcus durans. RNAcentral's name for it is "bacterial SSU rRNA". It matches the Rfam family "Bacterial small subunit ribosomal RNA", at positions 51 to 1209 of the family's 1533-position model. Lineage: Bacteria; Bacillati; Bacillota; Bacilli; Lactobacillales; Enterococcaceae. The record is from RNAcentral.
AUACAUGCAAGUCGUACGCUUCUUUUUCCACCGGAGCUUGCUCCACCGGAAAAAGAAGAGUGGCGAACGGGUGAGUAACACGUGGGUAACCUGCCCAUCAGAAGGGGAUAACACUUGGAAACAGGUGCUAAUACCGUAUAACAAUCGAAACCGCAUGGUUUUGAUUUGAAAGGCGCUUUCGGGUGUCGCUGAUGGAUGGACCCGCGGUGCAUUAGCUAGUUGGUGAGGUAACGGCUCACCAAGGCCACGAUGCAUAGCCGACCUGAGAGGGUGAUCGGCCACAUUGGGACUGAGACACGGCCCAAACUCCUACGGGAGGCAGCAGUAGGGAAUCUUCGGCAAUGGACGAAAGUCUGACCGAGCAACGCCGCGUGAGUGAAGAAGGUUUUCGGAUCGUAAAACUCUGUUGUUAGAGAAGAACAAGGAUGAGAGUAACUGUUCAUCCCUUGACGGUAUCUAACCAGAAAGCCACGGCUAACUACGUGCCAGCAGCCGCGGUAAUACGUAGGUGGCAAGCGUUGUCCGGAUUUAUUGGGCGUAAAGCGAGCGCAGGCGGUUUCUUAAGUCUGAUGUGAAAGCCCCCGGCUCAACCGGGGAGGGUCAUUGGAAACUGGGAGACUUGAGUGCAGAAGAGGAGAGUGGAAUUCCAUGUGUAGCGGUGAAAUGCGUAGAUAUAUGGAGGAACACCAGUGGCGAAGGCGGCUCUCUGGUCUGUAACUGACGCUGAGGCUCGAAAGCGUGGGGAGCAAACAGGAUUAGAUACCCUGGUAGUCCACGCCGUAAACGAUGAGUGCUAAGUGUUGGAGGGUUUCCGCCCUUCAGUGCUGCAGCUAACGCAUUAAGCACUCCGCCUGGGGAGUACGACCGCAAGGUUGAAACUCAAAGGAAUUGACGGGGGCCCGCACAAGCGGUGGAGCAUGUGGUUUAAUUCGAAGCAACGCGAAGAACCUUACCAGGUCUUGACAUCCUUUGACCACUCUAGAGAUAGAGCUUCCCCUUCGGGGGCAAAGUGACAGGUGGUGCAUGGUUGUCGUCAGCUCGUGUCGUGAGAUGUUGGGUUAAGUCCCGCAACGAGCGCAACCCUUAUUGUUAGUUGCCACCAUUCAGUUGGGCACUCUAGCAAGACUGCCGUGACAAACCGGAGGAAGGUGGGGAUGACGUCAAUCAUCAUGCCCCUUAUGACC